This 510-nucleotide ribosomal RNA is filed under the name uncultured bacterium. Its description in RNAcentral is "bacterial SSU rRNA". It matches the Rfam family "Bacterial small subunit ribosomal RNA", at positions 28 to 548 of the family's 1533-position model. The record is from RNAcentral.
GACGAACGCUGGCGGCGUGCUUAACACAUGCAAGUCAAGGGGGCCCGCAAGGGCAACCGGCGAACGGGUGCGUAACACGUGAGCAACCUGCCCAUCUGUGGGGAAUAGCCGGCCCAACGGCCGGGUAAUACCGCAUACGUUCAUCGCUCGGCAUCGGGUGAUGAGGAAAGCCUUCGGGCGCAGGUGGAGGGGCUCGCGGCCUAUCAGCUAGUUGGUGGGGUAACGGCCUACCAAGGCGACGACGGGUAGCUGGUCUGAGAGGAUGGCCAGCCACAUUGGGACUGCGACACGGCCCAGACUCCUACGGGAGGCAGCAGUGGGGAAUCUUGCGCAAUGGCCGAAAGGCUGACGCAGCGACGCCGCGUGUGGGAUGAAGCUCUUCGGGGUGUAAACCACUGUUGCCCGGGACGAACGGGCGGAUUUAUCCGCCGUGACGGUACCGGGUGAGGAAGCACCGGCUAACUCCGUGCCAGCAGCCGCGGUAAUACGGAGGGUGCGAGCGUUGUCCGG